AGCGAACGCUGGCGGCAGGCCUAACACAUGCAAGUCGAACGGACCCUUCGGACUUAGUGGCGGACGGGUGAGUAACACGUGGGAACGUACCUUUUGGUUCGGAACAACUCAGGGAAACUUGAGCUAAUACCGGAUGAGCCCUUAGGGGGAAAGAUUUAUCGCCGAAAGAGCGGCCCGCGUUAGAUUAGCUAGUUGGUGAGGUAAAGGCUCACCAAGGCUACGAUCUAUAGCUGGUCUGAGAGGAUGAUCAGCCACACUGGGACUGAGACACGGCCCAGACUCCUACGGGAGGCAGCAGUGGGGAAUCUUGCGCAAUGGGCGAAAGCCUGACGCAGCCAUGCCGCGUGAAUGAUGAAGGUCUUAGGAUUGUAAAAUUCUUUUACCAGGGACGAUAAUGACAGUACCUGGAGAAAAAGCCCCGGCUAACUUCGUGCCAGCAGCCGCGGUAA
Molecule: ribosomal RNA, 449 nt
Filed under: uncultured bacterium
Lineage: Bacteria
Description: partial 16S ribosomal RNA
Rfam family: Bacterial small subunit ribosomal RNA
Source: RNAcentral